RNAcentral lists this long non-coding RNA (275 nucleotides) under Phoenix dactylifera (date palm). RNAcentral's name for it is "long non-coding RNA (PDAC_LNC020016)". Lineage: Eukaryota; Viridiplantae; Streptophyta; Magnoliopsida; Arecales; Arecaceae. The record is from RNAcentral.
CAUGAUCAAUGAAAAAGUUCUGUCCACCAGAAUAUAGUGAGCUCCUAAUUGCCAAAUCUGCUAGUUACAGAAGUUAUCAUGUAUCUCUUUGUAUUUUGCUUAGCAGGAAAAUACUGAAGAGUAAAUUAGGAAAAGAUUACCAUCCACAGAGAAUUUAUGGAAAUUGGGAUAGAGGUGAUGACGAAAGAAACAUGCUUUUACCUGGCAGAUGUAUAAGAGCCCGUAGCAUCUUAUUGGUGGCUCAUUCGCUUGGAGAUUUGGUAUCAGAAACUCGC